CUGUCUGAGGGACAGAGAGGACGUGAGGGGUCCGUCUGAAUGUGUGUGUGUCCGUGUGUGUCUGUGUGUGUGGACCUACCUGUGUAUGUACGGUAUGAGCAGAGAGAAGAGCAGGAAGUUGGCGGCUCCCUGGUCCUCACUGGUGUGGAAGAACAGUUCCAGCACUGACGGAUCUUUGACCAGAGCCACGCAAAGCUGGUUCAGCAGGAGGACCAGCUCGGCCUCCACCACUCCACCGCUGCCUGGAAGGGUGGGGGUGGACAGGUCUGUUUACUCGCCAGCAGCUCACCCGUCCCGGCUCCAGCGCAGGAGGCCAGCAGCAUCAUGAGUGGGCGUAGAACUGGUUUGUGGUGCAGCAGAGGCUGCCUGGCCUGAGACAGAAGCAUCUGGUACAUCCUGAGCUGCUCCAGCUUCAUGUCCUCUGUGAACUGUCUCCUCAGGCUCCACAGAAACAGCCUCUCCAUCACGCCCUCCAGGACCACGAACUCCAGGAUGGGACCCAUCGCUCCCCCUGGGAAACGGAGCGCAACACACGUGAAGCCAAACACAACACAGCGGCGUGAUGACGCAUGUGGUUUUGUUUUGUCUCCUCACCCUGCCCCGCCUCCUCCUCCAUCAGCAGGAAGAGCAUAUGCUCCACGUAGUUCUGGACGGCGCUGGCCUCGUCGGCCGGGAUGGGACCCAGACGUAAUGUUCCAGAGCUGCCGCCAGCGUGGCCGGAGAGGAAACUCAGCGCGCUGAUGCCGCUCCGCCCCGGCUCGUGUUUCUCCAGGAUCCUCACUACCUGCAGACACACGCACAUCGGGGACGUCUUCACCGUCAGGAGCCCAGGCAGGAACAGGAAGUCAGGGUCGUCAGCGGCAACGAGCAGACAGGAAAAACAUGGGACAUGUCUGCGUCCCACCCAGGGCGUUCCGGGACAUUCCAUGAAUUCCCACCAGAGAUCUCCAGGAAUCCUUCAACAGGAUACCCACCUCUGCUGCUGCUGCUGUGACGACAUGGACGAGCGAGCCUGCUGCCUGAGAGAGAGAGAGAGAGA
Scatophagus argus is the source of this 1039-nucleotide long non-coding RNA. RefSeq lists it as uncharacterized. The record is from RefSeq and is a predicted model, not a curated record. The transcript has 3 exons. NCBI's taxonomy places the organism in Eukaryota, Metazoa, Chordata, Actinopteri, Scatophagidae.